RNAcentral lists this ribosomal RNA (918 nucleotides) under Aphidius ervi. RNAcentral describes it as "SSU rRNA". It matches the Rfam family "Eukaryotic small subunit ribosomal RNA", at positions 48 to 884 of the family's 1831-position model. The record is from RNAcentral. Lineage: Eukaryota; Metazoa; Arthropoda; Insecta; Hymenoptera; Braconidae. RNAcentral also lists the same sequence under 1 other name.
GCCAUGCAUGUCUCAGUACAUGCCUAAUUAAGGUGAAACCGCGAAUGGCUCAUUAAAUCAGUUAUGGUUCCUUAGAUCGUACCCACAUUUACUUGGAUAACUGUGGUAAUUCUAGAGCUAAUACAUGCAAACUAGAAUUCCGACCAGAGAUGGAAGGAAUGCUUUUAUUAGAUCAAAACCAAUCGGUGGUAUAUUUUUUAAAUAUAUCCAUCGUUAAUUUUGAUGACUCUGAAUAACUUUGUGCUGAUCGCAUGGUCUUGUACCGGCGACGAAUCUUUCAAAUGUCUGCCUUAUCAACUGUCGAUGGUAGGUUCUGCGCCUACCAUGGUUGUAACGGGUAACGGGGAAUCAGGGUUCGAUUCCGGAGAGGGAGCCUGAGAAACGGCUACCACAUCCAAGGAAGGCAGCAGGCGCGCAAAUUACCCACUCCCGGCACGGGGAGGUAGUGACGAAAAAUAACGAUACGGGACUCAUCCGAGGCCCCGUAAUCGGAAUGAGUACACUUUAAAUCCUUUAACGAGGAUCCAUUGGAGGGCAAGUCUGGUGCCAGCAGCCGCGGUAAUUCCAGCUCCAAUAGCGUAUAUUAAAGUUGUUGCGGUUAAAAAGCUCGUAGUUGAAUUUGUGUGCCACGCUGUCGGUUCAUCGCUCGCGAUGUUUAACUGGCAUGAUUGUGGGACGUCCUGCCGGUGGAUUUAGCUUUAUAUAUUUUCGAAUAUAUUUAGCGAUCCAGUUUAUAUCCCGUCGCGGUGCUCUUUAUUGAGUGUCGAGGUGGGCCGGUACGUUUACUUUGAACAAAUUAGAGUGCUUAAAGCAGGCUUUUUUUGCCUGAAUACUGUGUGCAUGGAAUAAUAGAAUAGGACCUCGGUUCUAUUUUGUUGGUUUUCGGAACCCCGAGGUAAUGAUUAAUAGGGACAGAUG